Molecule: ribosomal RNA, 345 nt
Filed under: uncultured Pseudomonadota bacterium
Lineage: Bacteria; Pseudomonadati; Pseudomonadota
Description: bacterial SSU rRNA
Rfam family: Bacterial small subunit ribosomal RNA
Source: RNAcentral
AAUGAACGCUGGCGGCGUGCUUAACACAUGCAAGUCGCACGAGAACGCUUCAGCUUGCUGAGGCUAGUAAGUGGCGCACGGGUGAGUAACGCGUGGGUAAUCUACCUCUAAAUUGGGGAUAACACUGCGAAAGACGGUGCUAAUACCGAAUAACAUUCCUUGAUCCACGGUUCGGGGAAGUCAAGGUAGGCCUCUACAUGUAAGCUACCGUUUGGUAGAUGAGCCCGCGUACCAUUAGCUUGUUGGUGGGGUAACGGCCCACCAAGGCGACGAUGGUUAGCUGGUCUGAGAGGAUGAUCAGCCACACUGGAACUGACACACGGUCCAGACUCCUACGGGAGGCAG